UCUUCCGACAUCACCACCACGCACGGUGACGUCACGGUGCGCGGUGCCGGCCUGCGCACGACGCCCGUGUCGCGGCCGGCGGAGUUCACCGUCACGGCGCCGCGCGGCACGGCCAAGGCCGACCUCCAGGUCACCAUACGAGACCCAUCAGACCGUCGCGUCCCCUGCAGCAUCAGCAAAACCGGCGACGACUUCCUCGUCAAAUACCUGCCCCAGACGGUGGGGGACCACGAGAUCGACAUUCUGCUGCGCGGGGAGCCGAUCCCCGGCUCGCCGCUGGGCAGCAGCGUCUACAACACGU
Pollicipes pollicipes is the source of this 301-nucleotide long non-coding RNA. RefSeq lists it as uncharacterized. The transcript is spliced from 3 exons. The record is from RefSeq and is a predicted model, not a curated record. Lineage: Eukaryota; Metazoa; Arthropoda; Thecostraca; Pollicipedomorpha; Pollicipedidae.